RNAcentral lists this ribosomal RNA (152 nucleotides) under Cladonia caespiticia. RNAcentral describes it as "5.8S ribosomal RNA". It matches the Rfam family "5.8S ribosomal RNA". Rfam says of the family: 5.8S ribosomal RNA (5.8S rRNA) is a component of the large subunit of the eukaryotic ribosome. Lineage: Eukaryota; Fungi; Ascomycota; Lecanoromycetes; Lecanorales; Cladoniaceae. The record is from RNAcentral.
CUUUCAACAACGGAUCUCUUGGUUCUGGCAUCGAUGAAGAACGCAGCGAAAUGCGACAAGUAAUGUGAAUUGCAGAAUUUAGUGAAUCAUCGAAUCUUUGAACGCACAUUGCGCCCCUCGGUAUUCCGGGGGGCAUGCCUGUUCGAGCGUCA